GUCUACGUCCAUACCACCCUGAACGCACCCGAUCUCGUCUGAUCUCGGAAGCUAAGCAGGGUUGGGCCUGGUUAGUACUUGGAAGGGAGAAAUCUGUGUUAUCUUCU
RNAcentral lists this ribosomal RNA (107 nucleotides) under Microcebus murinus (gray mouse lemur). Lineage: Eukaryota; Metazoa; Chordata; Mammalia; Primates; Cheirogaleidae. The record is from RNAcentral.